UACAGACAACGUCAAAAAGCAUUCUACACAGUGCUUGGUUCCAAUCUUAUGACCGAUAUCUGUCGCAUCAUGAAGUGUCAGGUGUGGUUUGUUGCGUUAGAGGAUAUUUAGACUACAGACAACGUCCAAAAGCCUUCUACACAGUGCUUGGUUCCAAUCUUAUGACCGAUAUCUGUCGCAUCGUGAAGUGUCAGGUGUGGUUUGUUGCGUUAGAGGAUAUUUAGACUACAGACAACGUCAAAAAGCAUUCUACACAGUGCUCGGUUCCAAUCUUAUGACCGAUAUCUGUCGCAUCAUGAAAUGUCAGGUGUGGUUUGUUGCGUUAGAGGAUAUUUAGACUACAGACAACGUCCAAAAGCCUUCUACACAGUGCUUGGUUCCAAUCUUAUGACCGAUAUCUGUCGCAUCAUGAAAUGUCAGGUGUGGUUUGUUGCGUUAGAGGAUAUUUAGACUACAGACAACGUCCAAAAGCCUUCUACACAGUGCUUGGUUCCAAUCUUAUGACCGAUAUCUGUCGCAUCGUGAAGUGUCAGGUGUGGUUUGUUGCGUUAGAGGAUAUUUAGACUACAGACAACGUCAAAAAGCAUUCUACACAGUGCUCGGUUCCAAUCUUAUGACCGAUAUCUGUCGCAUCAUGAAAUGUCAGGUGUGGUUUGUUGCGUUAGAGGAUAUUUAGACUACAGACAACGUCCAAAAGCCUUCUACACAGUGCUUGGUUCCAAUCUUAUGACCGAUAUCUGUCGCAUCAUGAAAUGUCAGGUGUGGUUUGUUGCGUUAGAGGAUAUUUAGACUACAGACAACGUCCAAAAGCCUUCUACACAGUGCUUGGUUCCAAUCGUAUGACCGAUAUCUGUCGCAUCGUGAAGUGUCAGGUGUGGUUUGUUGCGUUAGAGGAUAUUUAGACUACAGACAACGUCAAAAAGCAUUCUACACAGUGCUCGGUUCCAAUCUUAUGACCGAUAUCUGUCGCAUCAUGAAAUGUCAGGUGUGGUUUGUUGCGUUAGAGGAUAUUUAGACUACAGACAACGUCCAAAAGCCUUCUACACAGUGCUUGGUUCCAAUCUUAUGACCGAUAUCUGUCGCAUCAUGAAAUGUCAGGUGUGGUUUGUUGCGUUCGAGGAUAUUUAGACUACAGACAACGUCCAAAAGCAUUCUACACAGUGCUCGGUUCCAAUCUUAUGACCGAUAUCUGUCGCAUCAUGAAAUGUCAGGUGUGGUUUGUUGCGUUAGAGGAUAUUUAG
Molecule: long non-coding RNA, 1241 nt
Organism: Rhipicephalus sanguineus (brown dog tick)
Lineage: Eukaryota; Metazoa; Arthropoda; Arachnida; Ixodida; Ixodidae
Exons: 4
Source: RefSeq, a predicted model, not a curated record